UAGAGCAUCUCCAGUGGUUAAGAU
Molecule: non-coding RNA, 24 nt
Filed under: Arabidopsis thaliana (thale cress)
Lineage: Eukaryota; Viridiplantae; Streptophyta; Magnoliopsida; Brassicales; Brassicaceae
Source: RNAcentral